UGCGAGGACAAGGCUUGGAUUCCCAGGA
RNAcentral lists this non-coding RNA (28 nucleotides) under Rattus norvegicus (Norway rat). Lineage: Eukaryota; Metazoa; Chordata; Mammalia; Rodentia; Muridae. The record is from RNAcentral.